Long non-coding RNA from Cervus elaphus (red deer), 301 nucleotides. RefSeq lists it as uncharacterized. The transcript has 3 exons. NCBI's taxonomy places the organism in Eukaryota, Metazoa, Chordata, Mammalia, Artiodactyla, Cervidae. The record is from RefSeq and is a predicted model, not a curated record.
CUGAGGCCAGGAGCGGCUCUGAGCAGCUAGCUGAAGGUCACAUGGCUAGUGAAUUCCCGAACCAGGAUUCAACCUCAGUAGUCCUGUUUCCACAUAUGGAGCGCCUUUUAAUAUGGACACCCUUCACCUGGCCAAAUCCUUCAAGCCCCACUUCCAUGAAGCUUUCUCUGAAUGCUUUUGCCUCUGAACUCUUGACCCCAUAGAUGAAGAAAUUGAAGCACAUAAAGGUUCAGUGACUUGCUCAAAGUUGCCCAGUUAGUGACUUUUUUUUUGACCACCCCCCAUGCCAUGUGGUAUCUUA